GCGAGUGACCAGGAUGAGGACAAAUGAAAUAGUGAGUCGGCCAGCGGACUGCUGGUCCGCUCUGGCAGGCCCGCCCUCUAAACUUUCUCUCCAGAGAGUUAUUUGGCAAAGAGAGCUUCAGAAAACAAUUUUUACUUUCCUUCUCCAAACCCCACCUCCCUCCCCCACCUCAUUUUAAAAAUCAGCUCCAACCUCCUAAAGAGGGAAAGAAAAAGUGAGACCCAAUUCACUUCACAUUUUAUACCACUUAAGGAAAACCAUUUCUUAGAGCGAACGCUUUACGGUUCAGAGAAUAACCUACCGUCUCCUCCCGUUCCUCUCUACCUCCGCACCUCCACUCUCGCCUGUCUUCUUGCCUCGCUUCUACUUGGAAGUGGCUCUUUGCUCUCAGACCCAGCCUCAUCCUUCUUGUCAUCCAAAGUCUCUCCUCUCUCUCUCACACACACACACACACACACAGUUUUGUUCCUAUUUUCUUCCCUCUAUUAGCAAGUAAUAAAUAACCACAAAGGGUAACUGUUUAUUCAUUCAUUUAUUCAUUUUAAGUAGAGCUUAAUAAGCAGCUACUAAUAAGCACCCUACUCUCAAACAGCUAAUAUGCUAGUAAGGGAGAUCAAACGAACCCAUCAGAAACUGUAAAGUGACACGAUGGUGAUGUCACAAGAGAGGCAUACGUGGAAGACCUCUCCUAGCCCGGACACUGUGGAAGCCUCCUAGAUACUGGACCUGGCACAGAGCAGACCCUCUCCCAAACUUUGUUGAAGGAAUGAAGGAUUAUGUGAAUAAAUGGAUGGAGACGCAUCGAGCCCGGCCUUAAAAGGAUGAGGAAGAUUUGGACAGGCAGCAAGGGGAGAGCCAACAUUUUAUAGUGAUCUAAUACAAAGUGGCACUUUCCCCUCCUCUUGGGCCACUAAAUUCAGCACCUGUGUCCAUUCUUGUAACACCCUCUCCACAGCCGACGCCACCUCAAAAAAGCAUGAAUGCUCUUGACUGAAAAGGAAGAAACUGCUGUUAAAAACAUACAUUUGGAAGGGGAACCAAACCAGGAACACUGCAACAAGCUAAGUGAGAGCUGGCAACUUCAAGCUCAGAAACACUUCAGGAGAACCUACCAAAUGCCAGGGGUGAAAACACCUAAGAUGUCCAAGGCCACAGUGGAUAUGUAACCAAGGCUACAAUUACAAGAUUUGUAGGUCAAUUCAAGCCUCUGAAAUUCCAGUUCACCACAUAUGCCAUCUGAGUGCUACAUCCCUUCUAGAAAGAGCAAGUUUAGAGCUGGAAGAUGAGCUAUAUCUAAACAGGUAUCGAAGGACAUGCUGAGGCUUCAGAAAUGAGCAGGACACAGCUGAGUUCACAGUCCAGGGCAGAAGACAGCACAAUACCAAGUAAGCACCACGCAGUAUGCUGAGGGCAAAGGAGAGGUAUGUGCACCAGGAGCUUUAGGAGAAGCGGCUCCUGGGAAGGGAGGGGGUUGGUUAUCAGGGACGACAUGGGAAGGGCACCUCUACAACUAAUGAUUGUACUUCUGACUCGAAUACAUGCCACACACCAUGAGAGGACCCCUAGGAGUAUUCUGAGCAAAGCCUGAGCCUUGAAGGCAGGGCAGAAAGUCUUCUAAUUGCUUCGAUGACUCACAAACCAGCCAGUGGGUCAGAGCUGGGAGAAACUUUAGAGAAAGUGGCACAUGGCGAGCAGCAAAAGUAGGAUCAGAAUGCAGAACUCCAGACGACCAGAUGGUGCUCCUGCCCAAGCCCACCAGCCUCCUCUGGAUCUGUGAAAGAGUUGGUCACCCCCAGCUAGGCCACAUGGCCAUCCCAGGCUAGCAGGGGGUGAGGAACCAUUUUAGCAAGAGGCUCAGAUUGUGGUUGAGAAGUUCCCACCUCGGCAAUGUGGACCUUUUGUUAUUGUUGUCUUAAGGAGACAUGCUCGUACAUAAACAGUCCCAAAUGAAAGCCAUUCCCAGCAUUCCUACAGCUCUAUAUAAGAUAUGGAUCUGAACUCAGCUUAGUCAGAAUGAACAUUCUGGUUAACCUCCUUUCUCCACAGUGGGGAAACUGAGACCCGGUGAGACUGAGAUCUCUCUGCCCAAUCACAUCACAGAUGAGACAGCACCUGAACUAAGGAUCAAGCAUGUUUUACUAAAUGCUCCCAGCUUGGUGGCCUAUGACCUCAGUCACACAGCCCACAAGAGUGAUAGACACCAGGAGGAAAGGAUGGUGCCAAGGGAUACAUUAAUAGACAAUGCAUGGCAGAGACAGAUGAUAGGAAAUUAAGGGAUAAAGGAAGAGAGAGAAAGAAACCAUCUCACAACUCUUCUCUCACAAGCUUCUCAAAGGUCCUUCCCAGAUCCAGCCUUCUGCAACACUACCCCCGUCCUUUGAGGUGUGCCCUCUAUUUAACCUGCCCCGACUCGCACCAUUUUUCUAUCAGUAUCCAACAGCAAAGGUGGCAGAGGACUGCCAAUUUCUUGUGAAUCCUGAAGAUUUCCUUUAUGAGUCACGGAAAACUGAAAUAACUCGGGAGGCGGGAUGACUUUAGAAAGAAACACAGUUUUAAAUCCGUUCCCACUAAUUUGUUCCGCUGUGUGGUAUAACUCCUGAAGACAGAAAAAAUUAAGUUUCUAGAGUUGACGUCAAAAUAGGAGUUUUUGUAAGGUUGUGUCAAUUGUCACCGUGGCAUUUUUUAUUAGGAUUCUUC
Molecule: non-coding RNA, 2697 nt
Organism: Equus caballus (horse)
Lineage: Eukaryota; Metazoa; Chordata; Mammalia; Perissodactyla; Equidae
Source: RefSeq, a predicted model, not a curated record